Pseudoalteromonas citrea is the source of this 380-nucleotide non-coding RNA. NCBI's taxonomy places the organism in Bacteria, Pseudomonadati, Pseudomonadota, Gammaproteobacteria, Alteromonadales, Pseudoalteromonadaceae. The record is from Rfam.
AAAAGAAAUCAAACGAGAUUCCCUGAGUAGUGACGAGCGAAACGGGAACAGCCCAAACCAUAAAGUAUGUAUAGGUAGCUUUUGUACUUAUGGGGUAUGGAGUAACAGUAGGGAGGCUAAUAGACCUGAUAGAGGUUACGAUUAUUAAGAAAACAAUUUGGGAAAGUUGGCCAAAGAGGGUUAAAGCCCCGUAUCGUAAAAUAAUUGUAAACUGUAUUUGUUACAUCCUGAGUAGGUUCGGACACGAGAAAUCCGGAUUGAAUAAGGGGGGACCACCCUCCAAGGCUAAAUAGCAUUCGAGAUCGAUAGUGAACUAGUACCAUGAGGGAAAGGUGAAAAGAACCCCGGGAGGGGAGUGAAAUAGAACCUGAAAUUUUAUG